Molecule: transfer RNA, 85 nt
Filed under: Brevundimonas phage vB_BgoS-Bajun
Lineage: Duplodnaviria; Heunggongvirae; Uroviricota; Caudoviricetes
Description: tRNA-Leu
Rfam family: tRNA
About the family: Transfer RNA (tRNA) molecules are approximately 80 nucleotides in length.
Source: RNAcentral
CCCGGUCUGGCGAAGUAGUAGACGCGCUGUCCUCAGAAGGCAGUGUCCUUGUGACGGGAGGGUGCGAGUCCCUCGACCGGGACCA